GUCAUAGAGAUACAGAGAGACACUCACUCCUCAAAGACAAAAUCUUCAUUUCAGAGCACAGUGUGAGCUCUCAAUCUUCGCGUUUGCUUCAUUGUUCGCCUCAAUUUUCAUGCAACUAUCAUUUUUAGAGAUGUAAUAAGAUUUACUUGCAGGGUUGCUUGUCUGGUUAGACAAUAGUGAAAAUGGAUUUUGAUGAGUACGAUUACCUGGAGCAAACAGUUGAAAACCCUGAAUCUCAUAAAGUUAAGGACACUGCCAAUGGUGGUGGUGAUGCCAAGAAGCCUGGGGAUAAAUAUAGCAGC
RNAcentral lists this unclassified non-coding RNA (302 nucleotides) under Hevea brasiliensis (rubber tree). The record is from RNAcentral. Lineage: Eukaryota; Viridiplantae; Streptophyta; Magnoliopsida; Malpighiales; Euphorbiaceae.